This 497-nucleotide ribosomal RNA is filed under the name uncultured bacterium. Its description in RNAcentral is "partial 16S ribosomal RNA". It matches the Rfam family "Bacterial small subunit ribosomal RNA", at positions 28 to 507 of the family's 1533-position model. The record is from RNAcentral.
GAUGAACGCUGGCGGCGUGCCUAAUACAUGCAAGUCGAGCGAACAGAUAAGGAGCUUGCUCCUUUGACGUUAGCGGCGGACGGGUGAGUAACACGUGGGUAACCCACCUAUAAGACUGGAAUAACUCCGGGAAACCGGGGCUAAUGCCGGAUAACAUUUAGAACCGCAUGGUUCUAAAGUGAAAGAUGGUUUUGCUAUCACUUAUAGAUGGACCCGCGCCGUAUUAGCUAGUUGGUAGGGUAACGGCUUACCAAGGCAACGAUACGUAGCCGACCUGAGAGGGUGAUCAGCCACACUGGAACUGAGACACGGUCCAGACUCCUACGGGAGGCAGCAGUAGGGAAUCUUCCGCAAUGGGCGAAAGCCUGACGGAGCAACGCCGCGUGAGUGAUGAAGGUCUUCGGAUCGUAAAACUCUGUUAUUAGGGAAGAACAAAUGUGUAAGUAACUGUGCACGUCUUGACGUUACCUAAUCAGAAAGCCACGGCUAACUACGUG